Molecule: ribosomal RNA, 300 nt
Filed under: uncultured Synergistaceae bacterium
Lineage: Bacteria; Thermotogati; Synergistota; Synergistia; Synergistales; Synergistaceae
Description: bacterial SSU rRNA
Rfam family: Bacterial small subunit ribosomal RNA
Source: RNAcentral
CCCGCAACGAGCGCAACCCCUCGCAUUCAGUUGCCAUCGGGUAAUGCCGGGCACUCUGGAAGGACUGCCAUCGACAAGAUGGAGGAAGGUGGGGAGUGACGUCAAGUCAUCAUGGCCCUUAUGUCCAGGGCGACACACGUGCUACAAUGGCCGGCACAACGGGAAGCGAGUUCGCGAGGACGAGCGGAUCCCUUAAAGCCGGUCUCAGUUCGGAUUGAAGUCUGCAACUCGACUUCAUGAAGCUGGAAUCGCUAGUAAUCGCAGAUCAGCCAAGCUGCGGUGAAUACGUUCCCGGGCCUU